Molecule: ribosomal RNA, 548 nt
Filed under: Rhodobacteraceae bacterium enrichment culture DGGE band M81B8
Lineage: Bacteria; Pseudomonadati; Pseudomonadota; Alphaproteobacteria; Rhodobacterales; Paracoccaceae
Also listed under: 1 other name
Description: bacterial SSU rRNA
Rfam family: Bacterial small subunit ribosomal RNA
Source: RNAcentral
CUACGGGAGGCAGCAGUGGGGAAUCUUAGACAAUGGGCGCAAGCCUGAUCUAGCGAUGCCGCGUGAGUGAUGAAGGCCCUAGGGUCGUAAAGCUCUUUCGCCAGGGAUGAUAAUGACAGUACCUGGUAAAGAAACCCCGGCUAACUCCGUGCCAGCAGCCGCGGUAAUACGGAGGGGGUUAGCGUUGUUCGGAAUUACUGGGCGUAAAGCGCACGUAGGCGGAUUAGUCAGUCAGAGGUGAAAUCCCAGGGCUCAACCCUGGAACUGCCUUUGAUACUGCUAGUCUAGAGUUCGAGAGAGGUGAGUGGAAUUCCGAGUGUAGAGGUGAAAUUCGUAGAUAUUCGGAGGAACACCAGUGGCGAAGGCGGCUCACUGGCUCGAUACUGACGCUGAGGUGCGAAAGUGUGGGGAGCAAACAGGAUUAGAUACCCUGGUAGUCCACACCGUAAACGAUGAAUGCCAGACGUCGGGCAGUAUACUGUUCGGUGUCACCCCUAACGGAUUAAGCAUUCCGCCUGGGGAGUACGGUCGCAAGAUUAAAACUCAAG